RNAcentral lists this long non-coding RNA (3354 nucleotides) under Zea mays. RNAcentral describes it as "long non-coding RNA (ZMAY_LNC002356)". Lineage: Eukaryota; Viridiplantae; Streptophyta; Magnoliopsida; Poales; Poaceae. The record is from RNAcentral.
CAAGAUCGUAAUGAACUGACAUUUACUGCAUCAAGUGUUACAACAUUCCACAGGGUUUAACAUAAAUCGGAGUACAUAGGGUUAUUACAACAUGGAUGGCACGCAGGCCCCAAAUAACUCCAAGUAGCAAUCACCGAAGUGAUAAGUUUAGCAGAAGCAUUUAUUUAACUAGCACCCACAUCACUUGCGAGGUUUUCGAAAUACUAUGCCAACAUUUGGGUAUGCCAACCCACCAAAAGCAUGAGACGAGAAUGGAGAAGCCCUGCCCUAGGCCUAGUCAUCUCCUGUAGCCGGGUAUAGGCAGUGCUCACGGUACCCGUAGUACAUCUGGCCAUCUGCAAUAAUCAUUAGGAAUAGCACCUUGAGUACUAGAAUGUACUCAGCUAGACUGACCCGUCCAAAACCAGGAAAUAAGAAAGUAAAAGACUCCAAGGGUUAUGCAAAGCUAUAUCUGGAGCUGGCUCUUUACAUUAUAAGACUAACAGAAGUUAAUGAAGUUAUUAGCAACUUAAAGGGGUUACCAAAUUUAUUAUUCCAUUUUAGUAGAUCAGUAUUGGUACCUAUUCCGCUGUAGAACUAGAUUUGCACCUGAUUCUCUAAAUAUUCAUUGCCAGGAUUACUAUGAGUCUAGUUAUAGCUUUAGUGAAGAAUCAAGUUAAGGAAGACUGUUCAUAAUUAUCACAUCAAGAUUAUCCCAUCCCUUGACCAUAUUUGGGAGUAACAUCACAUCUUAUCCCUAUCAUCAACUCAUAGAAAGUGUAGUUCUUAAUAUGAUGAGAUAACUCAAGUCAAGUGCUCACUAUCUUGGAGCAAUGGCAAUUUGAAUCGGUUACUAACUAGCUGGUGGGUACUCCUAACACAAAUCGUACCCAUAGUACUUCAUGAGAUACAAUCACCACCACCGUCAUUCGAGUAGCAGCCUUGCUGCACAUCUCGGAUUCCAUAGGGGCCACCAUACCCAGGAAUCGCCCGACUACCAGAGGGUUAGGGCGUACCAUCCACCAUGGGUCAUCUCGUCGUGUCCUCGUCACUCCUCAACCACACCAAUAAUUGCACCGCGAGGUUGAAUCCGGCUGGAAUGGUGCUCUGGCUUCACGGUCGGAAUGAAUUAUCCGGCCAGCUAAGUGUAUAGGCAUAAAUUCAACAUGACUCGAGGGACCACAACGGUACGGUCCUUAAUCGACACAGGCGGGAUCACUAUGGCCUACAUGGUGCCCAUAAGAGUUAGUCGUGUCUCAUUUUAAAUCUUUAUUUCUAUCAUGUAUAUUACCCGACGACUUUAUCCCAAAUCAAGCAUAAGUAACCACCUAUAUCUCGCAGGUGACAAGAGAUCACCCGACUUCUACCGUCUAAGCAGGCCUAAGCAUUUUAAACGUGCUUACUUCAAAUAGGUGGCAAGGAUAGGGUAAACAAAAUAAUAAAGGGUAUAUGCAGCAAUUGGUUUCAAUCAACUCCUAUACCUAAUGCAACAAUAUAGGUAGACAGUGAAUAAAUUAAAGUAUUGCAAUUAUAGGAAGUUAGAUGUCGGGGCUUGACUUUCUCGAAGGAACUGGGGUGGUGAUCAGGACACUCCUGAGCUUCAACUUCUAGUUCACCCUCUUCCACGAGAAUUCCUGGUAGCUCCUCGACAAUUCCCACAGGUACUCCCUCAUGCGAUCAUGUAUGAUGUAUGGAUGCAGUAUGAAGAUACAUGAUGCUUCAUGCAAGAAACAUAUGAUGCUUAUGGGUGCAUGUAGUGUGCAUAUUGUGAGUAGAUUUACUAGCAGAGGUUUCUACCAUAUAGUCUACAUCGUCCAAGAACAUGUAGUCUGUCUUUUCUUGGUUGGUCCUGACUAUCACUUAAAGAAUCCACCUAACUUAACACAAGUCACAUUACAAUAUUUCUAAUUACCUUACUCUACAGGUGUAGACACACUAGGCAAUAUCCUUCAUUUAGCCCCAUUUUCUUUUAAAAGUUAGUUAUCUCUCAGUGAGAAGGAUUUUGUUCAAACCCUAGCUAUCACAAUAGUAAUUAUUUCCUACAUCAUUUCAGACUAACUCACAAUUGAAACUAGAAUUACAUAUAACUAUUCAAACCUUUCCAUACCGUUUAGUUGGACUUAUAUUGUGAAUGCUACUCGACCAUUUCAAAAUUUACUACAAAAAUUAUAGCAGGUAGUAUUCCUCUAUCAUACUUUUGCAUAGAAAUUUCAAUUGUUUUGGACCAUUAUUUUUUAUUGCACAAAAAUAACAAGAAAUGGUGUAGAAAGUAAAUUAAACCACUUUACAUUACUAAACCAGCCAAACAGUCAUUAUCAUAUUUUUCAUAUACUUUACUUGGCAUAAGAAUAUGUCACAAAAAAUUUCACAAACAUUUUAUCUAUAAAUAUAUUUCCAUGGUUUUCUAAGGAAAUCAGCCAUUUUCUAUUUUUAGUUUAUUAUUCAAAAUUUUCCUACAUGACUGUUGGUUCAAAAUAAUUUCAAAGAUGGUCAGUGACACAUGUUUUGCAUACAAAAAUUUUCACUUGAGUAUUCGAGGCUUUGCUAUUUAUUUCCUAUUUUCUAAAGAAUGGGCAACUUACCUUCUUAAUUCACAACAAUAAAUUUAUCAACAGAUCAUACCCCUAAAAUAAUUAUCACAAAUAAACAACAUCUAGAGGAACCUAGUAAAAAUUGGGAUCAUAUUUUUCUGGCCUUGAACUUAUUUAUUUAAUUACUUUUAGGAAAACUUGGUUUUCAUAUUUAAAUUCAAACUGUGUACAAAAACAUUCAAACUUUGACAUGCAGUAUUUUUAAAUCAUAGAUCUACUAAAGAGGAGUCCUACAAAAUUUAUUCCUUCAUUUUUCGAGUUCAAAAACUCGAGCCAUGGAUUUUCCAUUGUUCUCUGCGUUUUAAACCAAAAAGGAAAAGGAAACAGAAAAGCCACUUUGCAUGUUAGCCCCUCGGGUCUUAGUGAACUACGAAUCCUACUUCUAGAUCCUCGAUAACUGUUCUGCUCAGUCUAUGACGGUUUGCGAAACAACCCUCGGGGUUUUGCCUAUUUGUGCGUGAGAUCAUGUCUUCUUCCUCAGAACAGAGAGAGAGAGGAGGAUGCGUGGCUCGGUCGACGGCUUACCGGUGGCAGAAAUUGCUGGGCGAGUUUACGACAAGCGACGGUGGGUGAAGGCGGCCUCGUUGACGAGCUCAGGGCGGCAGGAGAAAGACGGAGGUGCUCGGUCCACGCGUGCCGGCGGGAACCGAAGCGCUGAGACGUCGAUGGUGGCGUGUGGGGUUUGUCGAGCUCGGGAGGAGACGUCGAAGCUUCGACGUACGAUGAGGAAGACAAUGUGAAGCAACUUAGUUGGAGGCGGAUGGUAAGGUCGCGGUCGUGGAGC